This 226-nucleotide long non-coding RNA is filed under the name Solanum tuberosum (potato). RNAcentral's name for it is "long non-coding RNA (STUB_LNC011593)". Lineage: Eukaryota; Viridiplantae; Streptophyta; Magnoliopsida; Solanales; Solanaceae. The record is from RNAcentral.
UGAUCCUUACGAAUAUGAUGCUCAAGAAGCAAGAGUUCGGGCUCGACGACAUCUACAAGGAAAAAUUCCCAAACGAGUCAAGCUAGUGAUCCUUUAGGGGGUUGUUGAGUUGUUGAUUAGAGUUGUAAAUAUUAGUAAUAUAGGGAUUUUAAAAAAAAAAUGGAUAUAGGGAUUAGUUAUGAAGAAAUCAAUAUGUUAUUUUAUUCAGAUAUUAGUUCUGCAUAGG